UACUACCGAUUGAAUGGCUCAGUGAGGCCUUCGGACUGGCUCAGGGAGGUCGGCAACGACCACCCAGAGCCGGAAAGUUGGUCAAACUCGGUCAUUUAGAGGAAGUAAAAGUCGUAACAAGGUUUCCGUAGGUGAACCUGCGGAAGGAUCAUUA
Molecule: ribosomal RNA, 154 nt
Filed under: Massaria mediterranea
Lineage: Eukaryota; Fungi; Ascomycota; Dothideomycetes; Pleosporales; Massariaceae
Description: partial 18S ribosomal RNA
Rfam family: Eukaryotic small subunit ribosomal RNA
Source: RNAcentral